GUAGUAACCUCUUCCCCACUCCACUCCGUACAGAAGAAGAAAUAGCUUAAAACCCUCUGUUAGGGCUUUUCAAAUUCACAGUAAUCUUUCUCUGAUUUCAAAAAUGGUGAAACAACAGUUAUCACCGACACGGCCAUGGAUACUCGAGGCGGUUCCAUUGAUGGUGGUCAUUCUCAUAGCAGCUCAUGUCUUCGCCUUGGUGUAUUGGAUUUACAGAUUGGCUACUGAAAGACAGCCACAGAGGAGAAAAGCACAUUGAGGAUGAUGAACUCUACGAUUUGGAGAAUCAAAAAUGAGAAAGAGGAGGAGUUUGGAGUGUUACAGAUUUUACUGGAUUCAUGUGGUUGAUAAUAUGGUAUGUGCUUAGCUCCUUUGGCCCUAUAUUGGACAAUAAAGUAUAGGUUCCCUAGUUCUUGCUACGAGUCUUGAGCAUGCCCCGUGUAUUGUGUGUCGUGUUAACAAUUCACGCUUUCUGCGAAGGUAAAAUGAGAAUGUUUGUAAACGAUACUUCCUACUUCUAUAUGUAGCAAUUCGAUAAUUUCAAAAAGUAUUAGAAUGAUUUUCUUGUAUGCUUUCAUUGUUUCUAAAGUAGAAACAAUCCCCAUACCGAGCCCUUCGUUGAGAAACUUUUCUAAACAAUACUCCAUAAUUCUUUUCUGCAGUAAUUCAAUAAAUUAAGAGAUUGAUGUUCCUCUUG
RNA transcript from Cannabis sativa, 697 nucleotides. RefSeq lists it as uncharacterized. The transcript is spliced from 3 exons. The record is from RefSeq and is a predicted model, not a curated record. NCBI's taxonomy places the organism in Eukaryota, Viridiplantae, Streptophyta, Magnoliopsida, Rosales, Cannabaceae.